Molecule: ribosomal RNA, 154 nt
Filed under: uncultured eukaryote
Lineage: Eukaryota
Description: partial small subunit ribosomal RNA
Rfam family: Eukaryotic small subunit ribosomal RNA
Source: RNAcentral
GUACACACCGCCCGUCGCUACUACCGAUUGGAUGGUUGGGUGAGGAGGCAAGGGAUUGGGGGCUAGUCCCUCGAUCGAAUGCGGCCGAACCCUAUCAUCUAGAGGAAGUAAAAGUCGUAACAAGGUUUCCGUAGGUGAACCUGCAGAAGGAUCA